Molecule: ribosomal RNA, 433 nt
Filed under: uncultured bacterium
Lineage: Bacteria
Description: partial 16S ribosomal RNA
Rfam family: Bacterial small subunit ribosomal RNA
Source: RNAcentral
AACGAACGCUGGCGGCAUGCCUAACACAUGCAAGUCGAACGAGACCUUCGGGUCUAGUUGCGCACGGGUGCGUAACGCGUGGGAACCUGCCCUUAGGUUCGGAAUAACUCCCCGAAAGGGGUGCUAAUACCGGAUAAUGUCUUCGGACCAAAGAUUUAUCGCCUUUGGAUGGGCCCGCGUUGGAUUAGCUAGUUGGUAGGGUAAAAGCCUACCAAGGCGACGAUCCAUAGCUGGUCUGAGAGGAUGAUCAGCCACACUGGGACUGAGACACGGACCAGACUCCUACGGGAGGCAGCAGUGGGGAAUAUUGGACAAUGGGCGAAAGCCUGAUCCGGCAAUGCCGCGUGAGUGAUGAAGGCCUUAGGGUUGUAAAGCUCUUUUACACGGGAUGACAAUGACAGUACCGGGAGAAUAAGCUCCGGCUAACUCCGUG